GCGCGAGAAAUGGCUUGAUACCAACGAAAAUCGGCAUUCAGCGUGCGGGUUCAAGUCCCGCCUCGCGCACCA
Molecule: transfer RNA, 72 nt
Filed under: Oscillospiraceae bacterium
Lineage: Bacteria; Bacillati; Bacillota; Clostridia; Eubacteriales; Oscillospiraceae
Description: tRNA-OTHER
Source: RNAcentral